Molecule: ribosomal RNA, 489 nt
Filed under: Spilogale putorius (eastern spotted skunk)
Lineage: Eukaryota; Metazoa; Chordata; Mammalia; Carnivora; Mephitidae
Description: partial 16S ribosomal RNA
Rfam family: Bacterial large subunit ribosomal RNA (bases 150-489)
Source: RNAcentral
CUAGCCCAAACCUAAUGAAUGAAGUUGUAUACGAGCCAUCAAAUUAGAACAUUUAAUUACCUAAUAAAGUAUAGGAGAUAGAAAUAUUAUUUGGAGCUAUAGAGAAAGUACCGCAAGGGAAUGAUGAAAGACAAUCUAAAGUACUAAAUAGCAAAGAUUAACCCUUAUACCUUUUGCAUAAUGAGCUAGUCAGCAUAACCUAACAAAGAGAACUUAAGCUAGGUACCCCGAAACCAGACGAGCUACCUAUAAACAAUUUAUAAGAAUAAACUCAUCUAUGUAGCAAAAUAGUGAGAAGAUUUAUAGGUAGAGGUGAAAAGCCUAACGAGCCUGGUGAUAGCUGGUUGCCCAGAACAGAAUUUUAGUUCAACUUUAAAUUUACCAGAAAAACACCCAAAAAUUCUAAUGUAAAUUUAAAAUAUAGUCUAAAAAGGUACAGCUUUUUAGACAAAGGAUACAGCCUUACCUAGAGAGUAAAAUAUAUAAUUA